This 253-nucleotide ribosomal RNA is filed under the name uncultured bacterium. RNAcentral's name for it is "partial 16S ribosomal RNA". It matches the Rfam family "Bacterial small subunit ribosomal RNA", at positions 524 to 776 of the family's 1533-position model. The record is from RNAcentral.
GACGAACCGUGCGAACGUUGUUCGGAAUCACUGGGCGUAAAGGGUGCGUAGGCGGGUCUUUAAGUCAGGGGUGAAAUCCUGGAGCUCAACUCCAGAACUGCCUUUGAUACUGAAGAUCUUGAGUGCGGGAGAGGUGAGUGGAACUGCGAGUGUAGAGGUGAAAUUCGUAGAUAUUCGCAAGAACACCAGUGGCGAAGGCGGCUCACUGGCCCGAUACUGACGCUGAGGCACGAAAGCGUGGGGAGCAAACAGG